This 431-nucleotide ribosomal RNA is filed under the name uncultured bacterium. Its description in RNAcentral is "bacterial SSU rRNA". It matches the Rfam family "Bacterial small subunit ribosomal RNA", at positions 29 to 506 of the family's 1533-position model. The record is from RNAcentral.
AUUAACGCUGGCGGUAUGUCUAAUACAUGCAAGUCGCGCGAGGUUUCGAACCGAGCGGCGAACGGCUGAGUAACACGUUGGAACCUUCCCCGAACACAGGGAUAACACCUAGAAAUAGGUGCUAAUACCGGAUAGUCCCGAAAGGGUAAAGCUACGGCGGUUCGGGAGGGGCCUGCGGCCUAUCAGCUUGUUGGUGAGGUAACGGCUCACCAAGGCUAUGACGGGUAACUGGUCUGAGAGGAUGACCAGUCAGAAUGGGACUGAGACACGGCCCAUACUCCUACGGGAGGCAGCAGUAAAGAAUCUUCCACAAUGGGCGAAAGCCUGAUGGAGCAAUACCGCGUGGGUGAUGAAGGUCGAAAGAUUGUAAAGCCCUUUUCUGAGGGAAUAAUUUUGAAUGUACCUCAGGAAUAAGCACCGGCUAACUCCGU